GAUGAAGAACGCAGCGAAAUGCGAUAAGUAGUGUGAAUUGUAGAAUUCCGUGAAUCAUCGAAUCUUUGAACGCACAUUGCGCCUUCUGGUAUUCCGGAAGGCAUGCCUGUUCGAGAGUCAUUAACAACCGUUUCGAUCCCUUUCUUUCAGAAAUUACAAAGAGGAAAAGGGUUUGGUUAUGGUGGAGGAGGGAAAGGGAGCGUUUAGCCUGUAAAAAAAGAGGCUGUGUUCCGCCUCCCCCCCAAAAUUGUACAGGCGGUCGUGUGCGCCCACGCAUCGAGGUGUUGUAAAAGCUGCCACGGCACUUUUCACCUGUGCAGUGCGAGAUUGGCCAGCCGGUUUAAAAACCCCUCCAAACAAUCAAAGGUUGACCUCGGAUCAGGUAGGGAUACCCGCUGAACUUAAGCAUAUCAAUAAGCGGAGGA
Molecule: unclassified non-coding RNA, 425 nt
Filed under: soil metagenome
Description: partial contains 5.8S ribosomal RNA, internal transcribed spacer 2, and large subunit ribosomal RNA
Rfam family: 5.8S ribosomal RNA (bases 1-120)
Source: RNAcentral